Molecule: ribosomal RNA, 497 nt
Filed under: uncultured bacterium
Lineage: Bacteria
Description: partial 16S ribosomal RNA
Rfam family: Bacterial small subunit ribosomal RNA
Source: RNAcentral
GAUGAACGCUGGCGGCGUGCCUAAUACAUGCAAGUCGAGCGAACAGACGAGGAGCUUGCUCCUCUGACGUUAGCGGCGGACGGGUGAGUAACACGUGGAUAACCUACCUAUAAGACUGGGAUAACUUCGGGAAACCGGAGCUAAUACCGGAUAAUAUAUUGAACCGCAUGGUUCAAUAGUGAAAGACGGUUUUGCUGUCACUUAUAGAUGGAUCCGCGCCGCAUUAGCUAGUUGGUAAGGUAACGGCUUACCAAGGCAACGAUGCGUAGCCGAGCUGAGAGGCUGAUCGGCCACACUGGAACUGAGACACGGUCCAGACUCCUACGGGAGGCAGCAGUAGGGAAUCUUCCGCAAUGGGCGAAAGCCUGACGGAGCAACGCCGCGUGAGUGAUGAAGGUCUUCGGAUCGUAAAACUCUGUUAUUAGGGAAGAACAAAUGUGUAAGUAACUAUGCACGUCUUGACGGUACCUAAUCAGAAAGCCACGGCUAACUACGUG